This 429-nucleotide ribosomal RNA is filed under the name Chloroflexota bacterium. RNAcentral describes it as "Chloroflexi bacterium partial 16S ribosomal RNA". It matches the Rfam family "Bacterial small subunit ribosomal RNA", at positions 355 to 776 of the family's 1533-position model. The record is from RNAcentral. Lineage: Bacteria; Bacillati; Chloroflexota.
UGGGGAAUAUUGCACAAUGGGCGCAAGCCUGAUGCAGCCAUGUCGCGUGUGUGAAGAAGGCCUUCGGGUUGUAAAGCACUUUCAGCGGGGAGGAAGGCGUUAAGGUUAAUAACCUUGGCGAUUGACGUUACCCGCAGAAGAAGCACCGGCUAACUCCGUGCCAGCAGCCGCGGUAAUACGGAGGGUGCAAGCGUUAAUCGGAAUUACUGGGCGUAAAGCGCACGCAGGCGGUCUGUCAAGUCGGAUGUGAAAUCCCCGGGCUCAACCUGGGAACUGCAUUCGAAACUGGCAGGCUAGAGUCUUGUAGAGGGGGGUAGAAUUCCAGGUGUAGCGGUGAAAUGCGUAGAGAUCUGGAGGAAUACCGGUGGCGAAGGCGGCCCCCUGGACAAAGACUGACGCUCAGGUGCGAAAGCGUGGGGAGCAAACAGG